AUGGUUAUUACGACGUGCUGGGUUUUAUUGGCCGACAUGAUUAAUGAUUGCUACAGAUAUUAUAAAGGGUGCGAAGCUUGUCAAAAAUUUGGUGAUCUUCAAUGGGCUCCUGCUGCUAUGUUGCAUCCUAUUAUCAAGUCGUGGCCUUUCAGAGGAUGGGGUUUAGACUUUAUUGGGCAAAUUUAUCCAUCUUCCUCAAAGGGGCAUCGGUUCGUGUUGGUGGCAACUGAUUAUUUCACUAAAUGGUCUGAAGCAGUACCUCUCAAGAACAUGACACAUACGGAAGUAAUUCAAUUCAUAAUC
This 303-nucleotide ribosomal RNA is filed under the name Triticum aestivum (bread wheat). RNAcentral's name for it is "partial small subunit ribosomal RNA". Lineage: Eukaryota; Viridiplantae; Streptophyta; Magnoliopsida; Poales; Poaceae. The record is from RNAcentral.